ACGAGCACAGCCCCCGAGCGCCUCAGGGCGGGGCAAGGGGCGCGAACGCCGGCCAGGGUCCCCGCCCGCAGCGGCCCCGACACGCUCGAGGCCCCCGCGGACUCCCGCCCCUCGCCGGCCGUUCCUUCGCCGGCCGGACCGUCGGGCCGCGAGAAACAAAGGAGCCGCCGCUGCUCCCACCCGCGCCCGCUUCACCGCGUACCCCUCCCCAGCGCGUCGGGCCAGGCUCGCCCUCACCCGUCCCUAGGUCCGCGCACCGGCUGCCUGCGGCCCUUAGACGGCAGGCCCGGCAGAGCCGGGGCCUCGGGUGCGCGGCCGGCCGGCUCGGGGCCGCACUCACCGCUGCAGCACCAGGACGACGGGGAGCCGUUGGGGAACUUGGCUGAGUCCGGAGCGAUGCAGACGCUGGAACUGAGGUGCGGGCACUCCAUGGCCACGAGGACCGUGGCAGGGAGGACAGAGGCUCCGGGGCCGAACGAGGCGGGGGCGGAGGGACUCUGGAGGCUCCGUCUGGGGUCGCUCCUCGCCGGGCGCUAGGCAGACAGCGGCUGCGUCCCGAGCCCUUGCGUCAAAGAAAGCAAGGGCUUCCGGGCGCCGGGUUUUCCCGCCCGCCCUCUCUCAGCACUCCGCUCCGAAGAACGUGGAAUUCCGGGAUCCGGGUUCUGCCGCCACCUCUAGACCCGAGGCUUCCGCCUUCCCGGUCAGGCCCCGCCCCCAAGGCCGGCUCCGCCCCUGUGCACUCCCGCGGGUGGGGUCUCCGCGCGCGCUACCCUCAUCUGAUAGCUCAGGUUCCUGCAGCGCUUGGAAGUGACUUUCCCAAUUCCGCUCCCCUGGGCGGCUGCGGCUUCCCUGACUCAGGGAAUGGGGCUACCGGGCCCCGGCAGACAAGUCCGGUCCGCUGCGUCUAUCGGGUCCGGCGAAGGAGACUGAUAUUGCUUGGCGUGUUGGUCUGACUACAACGCGGCUUAGUGGUAGAAAAAUCUGGCCAAGUAACAGAGGGACAGAAAGAAAAUACAAACCACUCGGGCAGACGGGCACCGUAACCCUCCCAUUUUACCAAGCAAGAAACAAGCCCGGGGAGAUUAAGCCUGGCCCCGUGUUUGCGCCAGUGGGCUGCUUGGGUCCCAGAGCAAUCUAAUUCUGUCCUUUGAGACAGGUGUGGUUCUGAGCCGGUUCUGAGUUCUGCGCACACGGCCGUAGCUGGAAGAUGAGUGGCUGAGCCCAUUGGGGCACCCACGAACCUGGAUUCAGACCUUGUCACCGUGAUUAACUUUCAGCGUUACCAGGAGCACGUCGUCCUGAACUUUACAAAUCUCUCUGCUGGAAAUUUAAGUGAAAUACAUGUAACCUGGUUUUCGAGGUCCCGCCAACAGGUGAUAAAAAGGGAAGGGAUCUAACAUUGUUGGACGCGCUGAACCGCUUCCCUGCCAGGCACUUUGCAAUACAAAAUACCUCAUUUAAGCUUCGCUAUACCCUACAACUGAUGUUACGUUUCUCUUUUUACCGCGGGGGACAUCGAGUCUAUUAAUUUGCUAAUCCGUGCCGAGAUUAGGUCCUCUGCUCUCUGGCCUAUUUUAGAAAAGAGUUUAUGGGAGGGCAAACCUCUAGGGGCUGCUUGGAUUCGCCUUACACCGGAGCCGGAGGAGCCUGCGACUUAACUAGGGACAGUCUUAAGGACACCAGGGCUGUUACAAAUAUUGCCUCAGAAGUUUGGGCUCCUUGAAAACCCGUGAAAGGAGCCACAAGGCCAGAAGGCAAGCAAGGGGAGGGGGAAGACUGAUGUAGCAAUUCAAUGGGCAGAGUGGGGGGGGGGGAAGGAAGGUCCGGAAAUUAUUAACUGGGCCGGGUAGUGGUUAGAGUGGGGCACCUCCCUGAAGUGCAAUCUUGGAGCAGCCCAAGGUCACUCCCUUGGUCACUUCUCACUACUCCCUCAACCCCAGCAGUCCUCUGCUAAUGGUGUCCACCUUCCUGCAGCAUCUUUGAGACCUUUCCCCCCCUUUGUUUCUUCAAAGUUCCUUUGCCCUUUUUCAAAUUAUAUUAUUGAAGUUAUUGCAGUGAGGAGUUGUGGAAAGUGCAUAGGAAGCCAGGUAAGCAAAUGUUCAAAUCUUAAUUCUGCCAUUAUUUGGUGGCUAACCUUAGCAAGUGUUUUUAGUCCUUACCCCUCCCCCAACUUUUUUCUUAAUCUGUAAAACUGGAAAAAUAAUACGUAUCUGAAAAAGAAAUUAAAUCACGAGAUUUACUACCAUGUAGUAGGUAUUAAAUAUAGUUUUGUUUAUAACAGCAGUUGUGGGAUGCUUCCCACAGGAUAAACAAUAAUAUCUAACCUUUGCUCAAGCUCUUCCAUCUAUCUCCUCCUACCAGCCUAUUUAUCUUUCAGGCUUGGCUCAACCAAUCUUCUGUUUCUCUCAGGACAUGUUCCCCAUUUGGUAUCUAUAGCCCCUCAUUUGGCCAUGGAACAGUCUGACUCAUGCUGUCUUAUACUGGUAUGUAAUGUUACUUUUUUCACCCUCUCAGAAACUGUUUCCUAAUCCCCUAAACCUCAGUUUAAACACCACUUCCUGCAGGGAGGCCUUUUCUGACCCUGCUCCACCCCCAGGGUACCUCCCAGGGUGUGAUGCCCUUGACUGCCCCCACACUGCCUUUAUAAAACAUUCUUCUGCAUGUAAUUAUUUGUUUAAUGUCUGUCUUCCCCUUGGAGGUCCGUAAGGGUAGCAAACAAGUCUGUCUGGUUUCCUGCUUUAUUUCUAACAUAGUAUGUAGAACAUGGAAGGUGUCCAAUAAAUAAAGGGUUCAAUGAAUGGAAGAGUGGGUGAGUGAUGCUUUAGCAAUAUUUAGGAAGAAAGGAGUUUAGGAAGUGCCUAUAUAUAUAUAUAUAUAUAUAUAUAUAUAUAUAUAUAUGUAUCAGGUAUUUUCCACCUUGAGAGUAAACUGUACAUUUCAAUUCUGAGUUUGUGAUUUUAAAAGGAUCAGACAUGUUAAAGCAUCUUGUAAGGUAUAAACUGCUAAAACAGAUAUAUUAGUAUUAUAUAUUAUAGUAUUAUUGUCAUCUCUCCAUAACCAGAAUAAAAAUUCCGUGGAACAGGGGCCCUAUUUUGGCCAUUCUUGAUUUUGGUCGUCCCCUAAAGGGUAGACUCAGGCAGUCCAAAGAAGUCCAAUGGAAUCAGAGACCAGUUUCCUGGGGCUUUUGGUAGCCUGCCCUAAAACAGAGAACUUUCCUGUGUCUUUGAAAGUUUUCACAGUAAGAAAAAUUUGAAGGGGGGGGAACCCCUCAGUGAGUAAAUGUGUCAAACGGGGGAAGGCCAUGGGGCACCCUGGGAAAUCUGCCUUUUCAUCCAUGGAUUCUGCAGCUGCAUUUAAUACAACCUUCGCUUUUUUGUUCUUGGCUGGCAUGCCUUUGGCUCCCAAGAGCUCCGACUUACAUACCAGCAUGCCCAGAUAGUGAGGAGGGAGCUUCCAGCUCCAUUGCUUUGCACCACCGUUUCCACCACCCCAUACCCUACCCAGCCCCCUGGAUAUCUGCUGGGGCUACCAGCCCAAACACCUGCCAGAAGCAGUGGGCCUAUUUUAAAAGUGUGCAUUUUUUGCACAGGGGAGGAAUGCGCAAUUCCAACAGUACUAUCAAAUGAUUCUCGUAUAAAGAAUGUGUAUAUACAUUGGAGUGGGAAGAAGUGAAAGAAGGGGAUGUUCCCAGAUGCAUAAGAACUGUGAUCAGGAAAAAGCUCAAGGUUGCUGCAACCUGCCAAAAAUUUAGAUUUGUGACUUAUGGUAGAAUCUGUGGUCCUCAAGAAUUACAAAGCUGACCAGGCCCUGUGAAAAAGUAGCUCUGACUAUCCCCAUUCAGGUAAGACUGAUUAGAAACACCCAGAGAGCUGGCUUAAAUAUUUACUAUAGAGAUUUUUCUAAGAGCAAACCUCCUUGGAAAACCAAAGUUAGAUCAAGAGGAGGCUUCAAAGCAUUGAAAAGUGUUGGGGGUGGAGGAGCAUCAGCUCAAAAACUCUUCUAUCACCAGGUUUCAUUUUCCUAGCAGCACUGAUCUGAUAUUUUGUUGCUUGUUUACUUAUUUAUCUAUUAUCCAUAUCCUCAUGAGAUUGGAGACCUUGCCAGUCUUGUUCGAAGCCUGAUUGCCAACUCCUGGAAUACAGCUUGAUAUAUGCCAGGCCUCAGUAACUAUUUGUUAAAUGACUAAAUAAAAGGGGAACAGGGGAAACAGCUCAGAAUCCACAUCCUCAAGGCUCUGGGUUCAAUCCCCAGACAGCAAACCCACUCACCCAUCCCCCAAAAAAGGGGUGAUGAUGGGCAUGGGCUUCAGCAGAUGCACCCUCACUUUCUUACCCAAGAAUAUUGGUGGUGUCAUUCUUCUCACUUCUUUCCAUUCACCCCUUUCACAUUACCUCCCCUACAUAGUCACCUGUCACCUCCCUUUUGCUAAAGUUUUUGUGUGUUUUUAAAAAAAUUGUUCUAGCAGUACCUAAAAUCAUUCUCCUAUUAUACAUAAUGUUCUUCCUCACCACUCUGUGCCCUUCUCAUCUGGUACCCUUCUACCUGGCCACCUCCUUCUCCUCCUUCAUUAAACACAGUGCCUUCUCAGGGCAAUCCUCCAUCACUCACACAAGCUGACUUCAAAGUCUUCCCUCACUACCACCCCCACCACCCCCAUCUUCUGUCCCUGCAGUUUGUCACAGAGUGCUGUUAUUUUCUGGUCACAUUUUGGUCUCACUUGAGAGGUGUUUUUAUUUUCAUCCAUGUUCUUGGUAUUGAGUAAGCAACAGCAGAUAUUAAAACCAAUUAUAUUUGUUGAUAGAGGUUUUCGUUUCUUCUUUAAUCCCUGGACGAUAAAUAAUACCACCUUCAUUUUACUAAAAUGGAGAGAACUAAAGCUUAAAGAGGGUUAAAUAAUUACAUACAUUUGUAUAACUAGUAAUUGUUCAUUUAUCAGAGAAGGCAAAGUUUUUAUCCUUUCUGUACAUGGUCAUCUAAAUGAUUUUGCAGUAUUAUAUGAAGUUACUGAUGAGAGGGAGUCUUAGAAACCACAGGACACAGAAGAGCCUUCUGAGUAAAUAAUCAUUAUGUUUACUACCACUGUAAUAAUUAUAUCAACAUCUUAAUUUGUAUUGCCUUUGCUUUCGUCUUUAUCUCUGAGAGCCUCUUUUGUGAAGAUGAGGUUUUCCUGUUUAAAGACCUCUUUGCAGAUAAAAUACUGAUGGAUUAAGCACCACAGAAUGGCUCUAGCACCAAACAACCCCCAACAGGGAAGGAGUCACUGCUUUCCCUGGCCCUAGUCUUUCCAUUUGCAAAAUCUGAGGUUUGAACUUAAUAAUCACUCUUACAUGAUUGAGCACCCACAAUCUGUGAUAGCUCAUGGCCACCUAGUGACACUAACAGAAGGAAGACCAUCUCUCUGUGCUACGGCAGUGAUCACUAACUAUUCAUCCCAAAUCUUUUUCUUUUCCUUUUGGGUUCACAAAUAGUACUUUCUCAGCUUCUCUUGCAGUGAGGUGUUCCUGUCAAUGGAAUCUAAAGAAAUCACAAGGUUCAGCCUUGAAUAGCACUGUGAAGAGCCACCCAUGACUCAUAUAUUUCAAUGUCCAGUUUGGUUUAUCAGCACAUAGAGGAAAAUAUUAGGCUAGGCCCAGAAGGAAAUAUGGGUCUGCUAAGCUUCACUUAUGCCCUUUCUGUGUUGCCUCUUCAAUUCUUCGUUUAUUUAAUCAGCAGGUCUGCCUGCACUCUUAUCAUUUGCUAGUCACUGGUAAAUGCUUAGAGCUAUGUGGAGUCCUCCUCUACAGACAUUCCUCUGCCACUAUCAAGAGGAAGACCACUGUGGUUUUACUCAUUUUCUCUUGAUUGCUAAUUGCCUGAUUGGUAUAUCCACACCUCUGAGUUUCCAAAUGUUGUCUAGAUUUGGGCCUUAAGCCUUUCAAUGGUGUAAAUGACAUCCCAUGUAAAGGGCCUGCUUGGUGCUUGGCAUACAAUAGACCUUCAAUAAACAUCUGUUUCCUUGAAACCUUAGCAGGUAGGAGAAUUGAUGUGGGAGGUCAGGGAUGAUGGCCUAAUACCACUGGUUCUAGUAUAGCUGGCACAGAAAGUUAGAUUUUUGUCCUUUUAAAGGGAUCUGGAGGGCUGGGGUUGUGGCUCAGUGGUAUAGCACUCGUUUAGCAUGCGUGAGGCACUGGGUUCAAUCCCCAGCACCACAUAAAAACUAAAUAAACAAAAUAAAGCUAUUGUAGCCAUCUCAAACUAAAAAAAAUAAAAAUUAAAAAUUAAAUAAAAAAUAAAAAAAUAAAGGGAUCCGGACCAGGUCAUUUGUUCAACUGAUAUCACUGAUAUGCUAAGCUUUGUGAUAUAAAAAUGAGCAACACACAGCCUUAUCCUCAAAGGGAUGAAGAAAAAGGUACAAGACAGACACCAGCAAACAGGCAAUUGCAACAGUGUGAUAAGUGCUAGGAGGGGAAGUACAGGAUGUUUCUUAGCCACAAACAAGGGACAGAAAACUAACCCAGGCUGGUGAGUGGGUGUUGAGGUGGAGGAAGUGUCAAAUAAGACUUCCUGGAGGAAGUGGCAUAUAGCUUGGGACCUGCUUGAUACCCAGGUAAAGAGUGUGAAAUCAGGGUAGAGAAGGGAGCAUAGUAUCUCAGGCAGAGGGAACAAUUGCAAAGGCUCAGAGAAGAUCUGAGACUGCUGAUCCAGCUGGAGAGUUGGGUACAAGGGGACAGAAGGCUAAGAGAUGAGGCUGGCAAAUAGGCAGAAAAGACAGGAUUUAUAACAAAGAACUGCCAACACAGAGAAAUUUGGGUCUUCAGGACACUGGCAUCUCAGGGUUACACUUUGCCAAGUCCUAGGAGAAGGGAUGAAGGGGCAAAGAUACAGGAAGAAGAAAGGAACUAAUAAUUAUUAAGCAUCUGUAAGGCAUUCAGCUGCAUUAGUCAUCUGGGAAAUGCAAAUUAAAACCACAGAACAAACCUAGCCAGAAACAAACAAGCAGGGGUGAGAAUGAAGAUAUGAAUCCCCCCAACACACGCACACACACCCCAUCUUGACCAGAUCUCAGAACUGUUCUUGAGGAACUUACAGUCCACUGAGAGGAAGAGGCAAACAAUUUUUGGGGGGGCGGGGGGUGGUGCUGGGGAUUAAACCCAGAAGGCAAGCACUCUACCAACUGAGCUACAUCCCCAGCCUCCAAACACAUUUUAAGAUAUAGAAUUGUGAUGGAGAAAGGAAUGCUAGGCAUAGAGACCCCCAACUCUGCUGCCUCCUGUUCUUUCUUAACCUUCAUGUGACAAUUUAGCUAUCCAGAAUAUUUAGUUAUCCAGAAAACAAAUUUCACAAACAUCUAGAACAUACAUUUUCAUAGUCUGAACUCUUCAGACAUGUACUUUAUGAACUGAAAAGAAGCAGGGCUUUGGGGCCAAGCAGGCUAUGGUCCCAUCUCUACCACUGAUCUGCUGUGUGACAUUAGGCCAGCAUCCUGGCCUCUCCUGAACAUCUAUGAAACUGGAAUAAUAAGAACUGCUUCCAAAACAGUGACAUUCUUGCUCUGUUUCCUUUACUCAAAUAUUUAUUUUUGGAAAGAGAGAAUGGGAAUUCAUGUGUUCUGACCAGAACAAUUUUCUAAAGUUGGUAAUGCCCAUAAUUAUGCAUUGGUAUAAUCACUCCAAAGGUUAUAAGCAUAUUUUAUAAUUAAGCAAUUAAGAAAGCUCUGCUAUGGCUGUCAUGGUUAUAAAUAUUUUCUGGCAGCAGCAGCAAAGGGGGAAAAAGUAUUUUGACAUUUUAUACCAUCCAAAGAACAAUGGCAAAAAGGUAAGGAAAGGAACUUAGAACCUUUUUGGCCAUUCUCAGUUCCCUAUGGAGCACUGGGGUUUUCAGGCUGGAGAUGGAGGCCAGAAGCUGCAAGGAUUCAUGGAAAAUGGCACUUCUUGCGAACCCUGUGGGGAGAGUCCUUAGAGAACUGAGACGGUCAGGAGUUUCACAGAGUAUGAAACUAACCCCAGAGAGGUGCUACAUCACAAAUCCAGCAUCACAGAGUCCUCUUGUUGGCAGCAGAUACCAUCAUGCUCCUUGCCGGCUGGAUGCUGUGCAAGGCCAAGGCAGGCAAGACUUUUCUUCCGUGCACUUUGGUUGGCCUUUUCCUGUCUGCAGAAUGUGCAAGUUGGCUCUACCCAGUGAAGAGGUGCUGCAGAUGGGUAAAGCACAGAACGCAGCAGUCAGUACAGCAAGUUCCCUCCAUAAAUAACCUCCAGAUUCAAGCCAGUGAGCCCUCUGAAGGCAGUGGUAGCCCCAGGAUAGAGUGCCUGGCACAUAUGAGGCACUCAGGGAAUUACAUUACUCUGGUAAAUAAAUGUGUAAGCCGUGAAAUGCUUACUGUAAAGCUGGCCCUGGAAGAAUAUAACAAAAAACCUAAGUGCUGCUGGCUCUACAGAGGGAGCCCGGGUGGGAAAACAGAAGGGAAGAGGGAAAUGACUUUUUACUGCACACCCUUUUGUUCCUUUUGGGUUUUGUACCAUUGGUUUUCAAAAAAGAAAUAUUAAGCUGGGCUCAGUGGUACACUGCUGUAAUCCUGGCUACUUGGGAGGCUGAGGCAGGAGGAUCAGAAGUCCCAAGCCAGCCUGAGCUACUUAGCAAGACCCUGUAUCAAAAUAAAAAAUAAAAAGGAUGGGUGGGGCUCUAGCUCAGUGGUAGAGCACCCUUGGGUCCAAAAAAAAUUUUUUUAAAUUAGAACAAGAUGAAAGCCUAAUGUAAUUCCCUAUUCAGGGAAGUUUGUACUUGAGUUGGAGGAAGAGAGAGUAGAUCUUUAGAGUUAAACCAACUUGAGUUUGACUCCCAGCUAUUUCUGCUGCUUACUAGCUCUGUGUCUGAAAGCAAGUUACCUACCUUCUCUGAGCCUCAUGCUACCUAACUACAAGGAGGAUAAUGAUCAUCCAUUACAUUAUGAUGAAGGUGAAAUGUGAUAACAUAGUUAUGCUUACAGAGACCCACUGUGUGCCAGGCAUUCUUCAUAAGGUUUUCUGUCUGUGUAUUGACUACCUCAUCCUCAGGACAACCAAACAAGAGAGAUACUGUUAUUUUCCUUUUCUAUAUUUGACAUAUGAAGAAACUAAACUCCAGAGAUAUAUCAAGGAACUUGCUUAGGGUCUCAUAGCCAGGCAGGCUCCCUACCUCUUCUUGAAAUAGUAGCAUCCUCUCUUUUUCAUUAGGGAAUUCUUUAAAAUACAAGCAUUCUCAAGGUCCAAAGAAAUAUCUUUUCUAGUGGUGGGCUUUUGGAUGUGGUGACAGGAUAGUAAGAACAAUGCUGGUUAGGGAGGGGCAGGGAGAGGGCAAGAGAGGGAGAGGGCAAGCAAGAGAGUGAGUGCUAGCAAUGAAGUUAAAUAAGAAUUUUGCAGAGAAUGCAGUCGAAUUGUAGCAUACAUGUAACUUUUCUGCUUUACCCUGUACUUUAACUAUUUUUAGAAUUCUGAAUUAUAUAUUGGAGAGGACACCAGGAAUUCUUCAGGACUUAGGACUUCUGAAAACGCUUAAUAGGGUGGAGCAAACUUUUAGGCAGAGUUGCUUCACCAACGCCCCUCAAAUGGGUCCUGAGUCACUUCUAUGCACAUCAUUGAUUCUACAGUUAUCCAUAGUAGGUCUUUAAGUGUUUGACAUCCUGAUGUUAACUUGUCUAUAAAGACUUAACUGUUUUUUCAUAACCAAAUUAAUUUUUUAAAAAUUCCAGUGCAUUGAAUGUUACUGAAUUUUGACUGUACAUGGAAAAAUAAAACAUCAUUUUCAUUUCCCUAAAAAAGAGUUUCAAGGUUAGAAAUGAGCCUGAGGGGCUGGGUUUGUGGCUCAGUGGUGGAGAGCUUGCUAGCAUGUGUGAGGUACUGGAGUAGAUCCUCAGCACCACAUAAGAAUAAGUAAAUAAAAUAAAGGUAUGUGUCCAUCUAUAACUAAAAAAAAAAAAAAAAUUGAGCCCAAAUUUCUAAAGGGUGAUAACAUUUGUUUUCUUUCCCUGAGCUAAAAAGACUCUUCCUCAUUGUGUCUCAUUUUCCCUCCCCAUACCCAUCACCCAUCACCCCUUCUACCUCAGAACUCUCAGUGUUUUCUGUAGACUUCCCAUCAGGCCACACCCUGGGCCCUAUGUGCACAUAGGGAGCUCCCAGCACUAGGACCCACCCUCUUCUUGGCGAUGCCCCUAAGCUAUGGCCAGAGAAGGGAGAAAGUACAUCAAGUCCUCACUCCUGCCUCCUACUGCAGAUUUUCAUACAAACUUGCCUAUCUCUUUCUGCCUGUGCUCUACCGGAAGCUUUCAGCAGCUCCCCACUGCUCCCAGAAGAAAGCCAGGUCCUUCCCUACAUCCUCACACUUGAUCCUGACCAACCUGCUAGCCUGGCUUAUCUCCACACUUAUCUCCACACUGGUUGCUACAAGAUCCUGACUCUCUUACUCUGGCUUCUGGCUCAAGCUGUUUCCUCUGCCAUUUCCACUAAAACCUGGGAAAUUCUCCCAUCUACCAAGGCCCAGCACCAAGCCCAUCUCCUAGAGAAAUCCUUCCCUACACUCAUCUCACUCAUAUUCUCUCUCUUUCCCUCCUUCCUCCUCUUCUCCCCUCCUUGCUUCUCUUCCCCUCCCCUCCCUCUCUCCCUUCUCCCCUUGCCCCUUCUCCUUUCUCUCCUCCUCCUCUCUCUCUCUCUUUGGAUAUUUCCCACUUUCAAUCACAUUCCCUUGAGGCUCUGCUUAUACAGUCAUGUGCAACAUAAUAAUGUUUCAAUCGGUGACAGGCCACAGAUAAAACGGCAGUCCCAUAAGAUGAUAAUGGAGCUGAACAAAUCCCAUCGCCUAGUGCUACAGAGCUGUCAUAAGAUACAAGUGCAGGGUUGGGGCUGUGGCUCAGUGGCAGAGAGCUUGCCUAGCAUGUGUGAGGCACUGGGUUGGAUCCUCAGCCCCACAUAAAAAUAAACAAAGGCAUUCUGUCCAUUUACAACUACAAAAAAAUUUUUUAAAAAAAAGAUCCAGUGGGCUAGGGAUGUGGCUCAGUGGUACAAUGCUUGCCUCGCACAUGUGAGAUACUAGGUUUGAUCCUCAGCACCACAUAAAAAUAAACAAAGAUAUUUCCCAAUCACUCUGAUAUCUCAUUAAAAAAAAGAUCCAAGCACAACUCAGUAUUCUGAUAUACAUUUAUGCCAAUCACAUAAAUGUAUGAAACACAAAAUUAUGUACAAUGCAUAUAUCUGAUGGUGACAACUGGUUGUGUUGCUGGCUUUUGUGUUUACUAUAUCAUGCUUUUUACUGAUAUUUUAGAGUGAUUUCUACUUUUAAAAAAAUGUCUACUAUAAAGCAGUGUGCUGUGUUUCGCUGGCAGCAGCCUCAUACAUCUCGUGUUUACCACAUCUCUUGAUUGCAUCAUUUUCUCUUCUGCUUGAUUUAAUCUCAUGUUGUUUUGUUCAUCCUAGGAGUUGUUUUGUUCACCCUAGAAGUUGUUUUGUUCAUCCUAGGAGUUGUUUUGGUCCUAGGAGCAACAGGCUAUACCAUAAAUCUAGGUGUGUGGUAGGCUAUACCAUCCAGGUUUGUGUGAGUCCACUCUUGGAUGUUCACACAGGAAUGAAAUCACCUGAUGACUCAUUAUAUCUCAGAACGUCCUCAUCAUUAAGUGACAUAUGACUAUACCUUUGGGUACUUCUUUCAGUCUGCUUUGGAAUAGUCUUCGUGUUCACACCACCCCCAAGUUAGAAACUGUGUCCUGGAAUAUAAGAGCUAUCCAUUCCUUUUCCAUGAGCAUACAUGCUAUUGUGUUGGCCCCAGGGUUUUGGAACUAGAGUAAGUUCUCAGCAAAAGUUUGGCACUUGAAUACAGCAACUUGAUGGACAGAACUGAGUUUAAGUGCCCCUCUGCCUAUUAAUAACUAUGUGACCUUGGACAAGUGAAUUAUCCUCUCUGAACCUCUUAGGUCAAAACUUACAAAUAGAAGUUUAUAAUAACGCCUCCCCCAUGGCAUGUUGACAAAUGAAUGAGAUAGCACACAGAAUGUGUAAUGUAACACUUGCCAGUCAUAUAGUAGUUCCUGGCAAACUUGUGUCUCCAACUUCAUACUACAUACUUUGGGAGUUUUUCCAUCUUUUUCCCUAGACCCCCUCGAGUUGGUAUCUGGGGAUAAGGACACCAGAAUAUUAACUUUGAAAGACAAAAAUGGGCCUAAGGAUAUAGUUCUGUGAUAGAGCACUUGCCUACCAUGCAUGAGAUCCUAGGUUUGAUCCCUAGCACUGCAAAAGAAAAAGACAAAGAUGACUUUCAUGUAACCUAAUAGUAAAGAUAGAAAAGAUUCUAAAGAAAGUCGGUGAGAACCAUACUGGCAACCCCAGGCCCUGGAGGAGGUGGGGGCUACUCCUUUCUCAACUAAAGAGGUCAGAUCCUACCUAGGAAAUCAGGCCCAUUAGUCUCUGCAAGCUGAAGAUUAGCACCUACUAGAGACCCUCACCAAAGCCCUGGCCACACUGUACUGUAAGCCUGAGGCCCUGUGAGCUUGCUUGGAAUAUGGAGAAGAGGCAUUUUCACUGGAACUUGGCCAAUGGGUCUCUAGCAGUGGGGGUGAAGGGUACAGAGGCCAGGAUUCUAGAGGUCAGGGAGCUCCUCCUCUCAUCAAGAUACACUCUGUGCCAAACAGCCUUCUGCCCAUACCUUGGUUUCCAGGAGCAACCAUUCUGGGAAGAGGCAGGGGAAUGGAGUGUGGGGUGAAGAAGGCCGGCAUAUAGCUGGUAUGCAGAAUGAUGUUCUUUUUGGAAGCUGUGAUCUCUGGGCACUUAUUAAAUAGGCAUUUGGAUAUUUUCAGUCUCCUGAGAAACUGGGUAGACCACCAACUUUCCUCAGAGCUGGGCUCCCUAAAAUAAGUUGAUCUACUUACUUCUCCACACCAUCCCCAUCAGCCUGUCCUAAAUCUAGGUCUCUGUGAUGGGGCAUUAUUGUGGGAUUGAAACUGAGGGAGGAGUGGCUGCCAUGGGAAGAUUUGAAUAUCAUGUAGCCACCUUUCCCCUGGAGAUGGGAUCCUGGACUAGGACUUUGGCAAGUGAGUGACUCAUGGAGAUGAUCUAGCUCAAUCUGCCCUUUUACAAAUAAGAAAACUGAUACCUAAAGAGUCUAAGCCAGGAGGAAAACCUAAGUCUGCUCAUCCCCAGGCCAGGGCUUUUAUCCUGUCUUUCUAUGACAGUCCCAUGAAGACAUUUUCCUGUGCUAUGAUGUCACCAUAUGGAUAUAUCUGGAUUUAACUAGGAAAUGUGAACCCUACUUGUCCUAAUGUCAAAUCGGAGCCUCACCUCACCUCUUGCCUGACCUGUAGCUUCUCAUUCCUGUGGCUGGGGGGAGGGCAGGACAGAAGGACUUGCGUAAGUGGUAUCCAGACUCAUACUUGGCUAGAUACUUUGGGUGGAGUUGGGGAAGGUCCAAGGUGUGAGGGCUCUGGGUUGAUCGGCCUGUUUUUUGAGUGCUGGCCAAGUAGGCAGGCAUUUGUUUCUUCCUCUCCUUCAGGAU
RNAcentral lists this long non-coding RNA (13488 nucleotides) under Marmota monax (woodchuck). The stretch from base 6120 to 6188 matches the Rfam family "tRNA". The record is from RNAcentral. Lineage: Eukaryota; Metazoa; Chordata; Mammalia; Rodentia; Sciuridae.